AGCCCUAUAGUCUAGUGGUCAAGGACGCUAGCCUUUGGAGCUAGAGGCCCUGGUUCGAAUCCAGGUAGGGCUA
RNAcentral lists this transfer RNA (73 nucleotides) under Candidatus Nanoarchaeia archaeon. RNAcentral describes it as "tRNA-Gln". It matches the Rfam family "tRNA". Rfam says of the family: Transfer RNA (tRNA) molecules are approximately 80 nucleotides in length. Lineage: Archaea; Nanobdellati; Nanobdellota; Candidatus Nanoarchaeia. The record is from RNAcentral.